This 582-nucleotide ribosomal RNA is filed under the name uncultured Bacilli bacterium. RNAcentral describes it as "bacterial SSU rRNA". It matches the Rfam family "Bacterial small subunit ribosomal RNA", at positions 62 to 618 of the family's 1533-position model. The record is from RNAcentral. Lineage: Bacteria; Bacillati; Bacillota; Bacilli.
UCGAACGCUUUUCUUUCACCGGAGCUUGCUCCAUCGAAAGAAAAAGAGUGGCGAACGGGUGAGUAACACGUGGGUAACCUGCCCAUCAGAAGGGGAUAACACUUGGAAACAGGUGCUAAUACCGUAUAACACUAUUUUCCGCAUGGAAGAAAGUUGAAAGGCGCUUUUGCGUCACUGAUGGAUGGACCCGCGGUGCAUUAGCUAGUUGGUGAGGUAACGGCUCACCAAGGCAACGAUGCAUAGCCGACCUGAGAGGGUGAUCGGCCACACCGGGACUGAGACACGGCCCAGACUCCUACGGGAGGCAGCAGUAGGGAAUCUUCGGCAAUGGACGAAAGUCCGACCGAGCAACGCCGCGUGAGUGAAGAAGGUUUUCGGAUCGUAAAACUCUGUUGUUAGAGAAGAACAAGGAUGAGAGUAAAUGUUCAUCCCUUGACGGUAUCUAACCAGAAAGCCACGGCUAACUACGUGCCAGCAGCCGCGGUAAUACGUAGGUGGCAAGCGUUGUCCGGAUUUAUUGGGCGUAAAGCGAGCGCAGGCGGUUUCUUAAGUCUGAUGUGAAAGCCCCCGGCUCAACCGGGG